This 293-nucleotide long non-coding RNA is filed under the name Populus tremula. Its description in RNAcentral is "long non-coding RNA (PTRE_LNC001728)". Lineage: Eukaryota; Viridiplantae; Streptophyta; Magnoliopsida; Malpighiales; Salicaceae. The record is from RNAcentral.
AGAAUUGGUCAAUGAAGUCCUUGAAACAGAUAUUGCGAGGGAGAAGUUGGCUGAAUAUGUUGAAGAGCGGCAGGUACUCUUAGCAACAAAGAGGGGGGAAGCACUGGAGGAGGGCAGGAAAAAAAGAGAAAAGGAACAGUUGAAGGCCAAAUCUGUUGCUAAUGGAGUAAUGAAUGGGCAUGGUGCUGAUAUCAUAGGAAAAAAUCAACCUGUGUUGGCAAAUGGGAAUCACAUCGGCCAGAAUGGGCAGAUCGCAAAAAAGAAGGGAGAGAUCUUCUCAGCCAGACCAAACA